GACGAACGCUGGCGGCGUGCCUAAUACAUGCAAGUUGAGCGCUGAAGGUUGGUACUUGUACCAACUGGAUGAGCAGCGAACGGGUGAGUAACGCGUGGGGAAUCUGCCUUUGAGCGGGGGACGACAUUUGGAAACGAAUGCUAAUACCGCAUAAAAACUUUAAACACAAGUUUUAAGUUUGAAAGAUGCAAUUGCAUCACUCAAAGAUGAUCCCGCGUUGUAUUAGCUAGUUGGUGAGGUAAAGGCUCACCAAGGCGAUGAUACAUAGCCGACCUGAGAGGGUGGUCGGCCACCUUGGGACUGGGACACGGCCCAAACUCCUACGGGAGGCAGCAGUAGGGAAUCUUCGGCAAUGGACGAAAGUCUGACCGAGCAACGCCGCGGGAGUGAAGAAGGUUUUCGGAUCGUAAAACUCUGUUGGUAGAGAAGAACGUUGGUGAGAGUGGAAAGCUCAUCAAGUGACGGUAACUACCCAGAAAGGGACGGCUAACUACGUG
This 497-nucleotide ribosomal RNA is filed under the name uncultured bacterium. RNAcentral's name for it is "partial 16S ribosomal RNA". It matches the Rfam family "Bacterial small subunit ribosomal RNA", at positions 28 to 507 of the family's 1533-position model. The record is from RNAcentral.